GUGCAAACUCGAUCACUAGCUCUGCAUGAUGUGGCAGAAGCGAAGGGAACCAGGUUUGCGAAAGUAACUGUGGUGAUAGAAAUGUGUCGGCUUCAGACGCUACUGAUGCGGCCCUUUCUAUCCUAGUACAGUC
This 133-nucleotide small nucleolar RNA is filed under the name Aotus nancymaae (Ma's night monkey). Lineage: Eukaryota; Metazoa; Chordata; Mammalia; Primates; Aotidae. The record is from RNAcentral.